RNAcentral lists this ribosomal RNA (450 nucleotides) under uncultured bacterium. RNAcentral describes it as "bacterial SSU rRNA". It matches the Rfam family "Bacterial small subunit ribosomal RNA", at positions 355 to 796 of the family's 1533-position model. The record is from RNAcentral.
UGGGGAAUUGUUCGCAAUGGGCGCAAGCCUGACGACGCAACGCCGCGUGGAGGAUGAAGAUCUUCGGGUCGUAAACUCCUUUCGAUCGAGACGAACGGCCUCCGGAUGAACAAUCCAGAGGAAUGACGGUACCGAGAGAAGAAGCCCCGGCUAACUCCGUGCCAGCAGCCGCGGUAAUACGGGGGGGGCAAGCGUUGUUCGGAAUUACUGGGCGUAAAGGGCUCGUAGGCGGCCAACUAAGUCAGACGUGAAAUCCCUCGGCUUAACCGGGGAACUGCGUCUGAUACUGGAUGGCUUGAGUGUGGGAGAGGGAUGCGGAAUUCCAGGUGUAGCGGUGAAAUGCGUAGAUAUCUGGAGGAACACCGGUGGCGAAGGCGGCAUCCUGGACCAACACUGACGCUGAGGAGCGAAAGCGUGGGGAGCGAACAGGAUUAGAUACCCCCGUAGUCC